This 1010-nucleotide ribosomal RNA is filed under the name fungal endophyte. Its description in RNAcentral is "eukaryotic LSU rRNA". The stretch from base 436 to 1010 matches the Rfam family "Eukaryotic large subunit ribosomal RNA", at positions 1 to 582 of the family's 3401-position model. Lineage: Eukaryota; Fungi. The record is from RNAcentral.
UUCAUAACCCUUUGUUGUCCGACUCUGUUGCCUCCGGGGCGACCCUGCCUUCGGGCGGGGGCUCCGGGUGGACACUUCAAACUCUUGCGUAACUUUGCAGUCUGAGUAAACUUAAUUAAUAAAUUAAAACUUUUAACAACGGAUCUCUUGGUUCUGGCAUCGAUGAAGAACGCAGCGAAAUGCGAUAAGUAAUGUGAAUUGCAGAAUUCAGUGAAUCAUCGAAUCUUUGAACGCACAUUGCGCCCCCUGGUAUUCCGGGGGGCAUGCCUGUUCGAGCGUCAUUUCACCACUCAAGCCUCGCUUGGUAUUGGGCAACGCGGUCCGCCGCGUGCCUCAAAUCGACCGGCUGGGUCUUCUGUCCCCUAAGCGUUGUGGAAACUAUUCGCUAAAGGGUGUUCGGGAGGCUACGCCGUAAAACAACCCCAUUUCUAAGGUUGACCUCGGAUCAGGUAGGGAUACCCGCUGAACUUAAGCAUAUCAAUAAGCGGAGGAAAAGAAACCAACAGGGAUUGCUCUAGUAACGGCGAGUGAAGCAGCAAUAGCUCAAAUUUGAAAUCUGGCGUCUUCGACGUCCGAGUUGUAAUUUGUAGAGGAUGCUUCUGAGUAACCACCGACCUAAGUUCCUUGGAACAGGACGUCAUAGAGGGUGAGAAUCCCGUAUGCGGUCGGAAAGGUGCUCUAUACGUAGCUCCUUCGACGAGUCGAGUUGUUUGGGAAUGCAGCUCUAAAUGGGAGGUAAAUUUCUUCUAAAGCUAAAUAUUGGCCAGAGACCGAUAGCGCACAAGUAGAGUGAUCGAAAGAUGAAAAGCACUUUGGAAAGAGAGUUAAAAAGCACGUGAAAUUGUUAAAAGGGAAGGGAUUGCAACCAGACUUGCUCGCGGUGUUCCGCCGGUCUUCUGACCGGUCUACUCGCCGCGUUGCAGGCCAGCAUCGUCUGGUGCCGCUGGAUAAGACUUGAGGAAUGUAGCUCCCUCGGGAGUGUUAUAGCCUCUUGUGAUGCAGCGAGCGCC